GCGGCCUAUCAGGUUGUAGUGGGUGUAACGUACCUACUAGCCGACGACGGGUACGGGUUGUGAGAGCAAGAGCCCGGAGAUGGAUUCUGAGACACGAAUCCAGGCCCUACGGGGUGCAGCAGGCGCGAAACCUUUACAAUGUGCGAAAGCAUGAUAAGGGAACUCCGAGUGCCAGUAUCUAAUACUGGCUGUCCUUGUGCCUAAAACGCACAAGAUAGCAAGGGCCGGGUAAGACCGGUGCCAGCCGCCGCGGUAACACCGGCGGCCCGAGUGGUAGCCGCUAUUAUUGGGUCUAAAGGGUCCGUAGCCGGUUCGAUAAGUCCUCUGGGAAAUCUGGUUGCUUAACAAUCAGACUGCCAAGGGAUACUGUCGAACUUGAGACCGGGAGAGGUAAGAGGUACUUCAGGGGUAGGAGUGAAAUCUUGUAAUCCCUGGGGGACCAUCUGUGGCGAAGGCGUCUUACCAGAACGGGUCUGACGGUGAGGGACGAAAGCUGGGGGCGCAAACCGGAUUAGAUACCCGGGUAGUCCCAGCCGUAAACGAUGCUCGCUAUGUGUCAGGUACGGUGUGACCGUAUCUGGUGCCGUAGGGAAGCCGUGAAGCGAGCCACCU
Molecule: ribosomal RNA, 612 nt
Filed under: uncultured archaeon
Lineage: Archaea
Description: bacterial SSU rRNA
Rfam family: Archaeal small subunit ribosomal RNA
Source: RNAcentral